AACGAACGCUGGCGGCAUGCCUAACACAUGCAAGUCGAACGAGACCUUCGGGUCUAGUGGCGCACGGGUGCGUAACGCGUGGGAACCUGCCCUUAGGUUCGGAAUAACUCCCCGAAAGGGGUGCUAAUACCGGAUAAUGUCUUCGGACCAAAGAUUUAUCGCCUUUGGAUGGGCCCGCGUUGGAUUAGCUAGUUGGUAGGGUAAAAGCCUGCCAAGGCGACGAUCCAUAGCUGGUCUGAGAGGAUGAUCAGCCACACUGGGACUGAGACACGGCCCAGACUCCUACGGGAGGCAGCAGUGGGGAAUAUUGGACAGUGGACGAAAGCCUGAUCCAGCAAUGCCGCGUGAGUGAUGAAGGCCUUAGGGUUGUAAAGCUCUUUUACCCGGGAUGAUAAUGACAGUACCGGGAGAAUAAGCUCCGGCUAACUCCGUG
Molecule: ribosomal RNA, 433 nt
Filed under: uncultured bacterium
Lineage: Bacteria
Description: partial 16S ribosomal RNA
Rfam family: Bacterial small subunit ribosomal RNA
Source: RNAcentral